This is a long non-coding RNA of Gasterosteus aculeatus aculeatus (three-spined stickleback), 538 nucleotides long. NCBI's taxonomy places the organism in Eukaryota, Metazoa, Chordata, Actinopteri, Perciformes, Gasterosteidae. The record is from Ensembl.
CUGAGUUGUCGUGCUUCGCCCGUUCGGCGCCUGUUCACCGCUUGAAGACGGGAAGGGGGGGGACGCCGACAACACUUGACGAGAAGGACCUCUGCUGGAUGCGUCUCGACACUGCCAAACUCGCCCGUUUCCUCCGAAAGGGGAAGCUACACUGCAGACCGGCAUCGCAGGCUGAUUCCACCAGCGAAGCAUCAAAACUUCGAAGCCGAAGGCUCUGCAUCCACAACAAACAGAGUCGAGUGCAGGAAACACAGAACCUGUCGUCUGCAGUCAGUGAAGCUCCGGUCCAGACUCCUGCACGAGGCCUCCUGCAGUAGCUUUGCUUACAGUGCCCCCUUCUGUCAUAUGAUACAACCAUAUAUACACAUUGACUCAUAUGCAUAUGUAUGUACACAGCACCAGUCAGUCAGGUGGGACACAUCUUCUCAUUGUGUCUCUCGACUGGUACUCUACAUCAUUUUUCUCUCUUCAAGUAUCUCAAUCGGUAUUUUGCAGGUUUUCACCUGACCUGACUAAAGUUGUGAGUGGCGCUUCGUUG